This 380-nucleotide ribosomal RNA is filed under the name uncultured crenarchaeote. Its description in RNAcentral is "bacterial SSU rRNA". It matches the Rfam family "Archaeal small subunit ribosomal RNA", at positions 471 to 851 of the family's 1478-position model. Lineage: Archaea; Thermoproteati; Thermoproteota. The record is from RNAcentral.
UAAAACCAGCACCUCAAGUGGUCAGGAGGAUUAUUGGGCCUAAAGCAUCCGUAGCCGGCUCUGUAAGUUUUCGGUUAAAUCCAUGUGCUCAACGCAUGGGCUGCCGAAAAUACUGCAUAGCUAGGGAGUGGGAGAGGUAGACGGUACUCAGUAGGAAGGGGUAAAAUCCUUUGAUCUAUUGAUGACCACCUGUGGCGAAGGCGGUCUACCAGAACACGUUCGACGGUGAGGGAUGAAAGCUGGGGGAGCAAACCGGAUUAGAUACCCGGGUAGUCCCAGCUGUAAACGAUGCAGACUCGAUGAUGCAUUGGCAUAUAGCCAGUGCAGUGUCGCAGGGAAGCCGUUAAGUCUGCCGCCUGGGAAGUACGUACGCAAGUAUG